AUUGAACGCUGGCGGCAUGCCUUACACAUGCAAGUCGAACGGCAGCACGGGUGCUUGCACCUGGUGGCGAGUGGCGAACGGGGGAGUAAUACAUCGGAACAUGUCCUGUAGUGGGGGAUAGCCCGGCGAAAGCCGGAUUAAUACCGCAUACGAUCUACGGAUGAAAGCGGGGGACCUUCGUGCCUCGCGCUAUAGGGUUGGCCGAUGGCGGAUUAGCUAGUUGGUGGGGUAAAGGCCUACCAAGGCGACGACCAGUAGCUGGUCUGAGAGGACGACCAGCCAAACUGGGACUGAGGAACGGCCCCGACUCCUACGGGAGGCAGCAGUGGGGAAUUUUGGACAAUGGGCGAAAGCCUGAUCCAGCAAAGACGCGUGUGUGAAGAAGGCCUUCGGGUUGGAAAACACUUUUGUCCGGAAAGAAAUCCUUGGCCCUAAUACGGUCGGGGGAUGACGGUACCGGAAGAAUAAGCACCGGCUAACUACGUG
Molecule: ribosomal RNA, 486 nt
Filed under: uncultured bacterium
Lineage: Bacteria
Description: partial 16S ribosomal RNA
Rfam family: Bacterial small subunit ribosomal RNA
Source: RNAcentral